This 253-nucleotide ribosomal RNA is filed under the name uncultured bacterium. RNAcentral's name for it is "partial 16S ribosomal RNA". It matches the Rfam family "Bacterial small subunit ribosomal RNA", at positions 524 to 776 of the family's 1533-position model. The record is from RNAcentral.
UACGUAGGUGGCAAGCGUUAUCCGGAUUUAUUGGGUGUAAAGGGCGUGUAGGCGGGAGCGCAAGUCAGAUGUGGAAACUCAGGGCUCAACCCUGAGCCUGCAUUUGAAACUGUGUUUCUUGAGUGCUGGAGAGGCAAUCGGAAUUCCGUGUGUAGCGGUGAAAUGCGUAGAUAUACGGAGGAACACCAGUGGCGAAGGCGGAUUGCUGGACAGUAACUGACGCUGAGGCGCGAAAGCGUGGGGAGCAAACAGG